Long non-coding RNA from Heterocephalus glaber (naked mole-rat), 5429 nucleotides. NCBI's taxonomy places the organism in Eukaryota, Metazoa, Chordata, Mammalia, Rodentia, Bathyergidae. The record is from Ensembl.
AGGGUGACACAAUAAAAGGGACACACUGGGCACAGCACCACCACCCCAACAAGUUCCUCUUGUUCCCCCUAAGGAGCCAAACAGGAAUUGUUGCCACAGGUCACCAGGUCAACGAGCUACAGGAAAGGUUUGCUUAGAAGGAGUUUAGGUGCGACUUCUUUAAAUUUGCUGAAAUUGUUGUAGUAAUGAUUUCAGGCCGCGAGUUGACAAAGGACCUUGGCUCUGCGGCGGCGCCCCUCCCGCCCCGUGGACCACCUGACCCCUCGGCACCCAUUCCGGCCCGGGCUCCCCACCUCCUCCUCCGCCCUCCGCGCCCUGGACACACAGGGAUCGGACGCUCCCCGGGGUGCCGCGAGGGGCAGCGCUGGAUUCUGGUUGCAGAUCACAGGCUGCUCUGGGAAUCUAACAAGAAUGCAGGAGCCUCCUCCUGGCAGCUGUGGAGAAAUGUCAGGGGCCGACUAGACAGAAGGCAUGCCGUUUUGAAACAGCUUUCAACAGUCACUAGCUUUGACUUACACUUCUGGCCAAGUCAGUCACCAGGACCCAUUUCCAUCCCGCCUCCUGUCUGAAACAACCAAAACAAACUCAAAACAUGUGAGACAAUUGUUUUCAUGACCCUGGACAUCAGGCCGUGGAAGACACUAAUCCCCGAGAGACAGAAAAAUGAGGUUGAGCCCAUGUCUGGGCCAAGUCACUACCUUGAGGGACUGCCCAGACCACAGAGCAGGAAGGGGACCCGGAUGGAGCCCAGCAGAAUCCUUGAGCUGACAGCAUAGUGGCUGGAGUUGGACAACUGAGAAUAGAGGACCCAGAGGUCCUGCUCUAGCAUCGCGCCAAACGCUGGUCAACACAGGUGUACAGAUGCCGCUCAACGUGGGAAAGGGUUAGAGGGACCUGCGCAACCCCGGCACAGCUGAAAAGAGUGCUGACAGGGGCAGGAGAACAGUUGUUAACUGCAUUCUGUAUGUCUAAAAGGUUAUGUAGGGGCCUGGAGUAAAGCACAUGCUUAGCAUGUGUGAGGCUUUGUGGGUUCAAUCCCCAGCAUCCCCCACCCAUGAAGGACAUGGGAGAUGUAUUAAUUAGCUGUCCUGUUGCUGAACCAAUAUUCUACACUUGCAAUUUAAAGGAGGAGAGGUUUAAUUUAGCCUAUGGUUUGGGAGAUUCAGUCCAUGGUCCGCUGGCUCCAAAGCUGGAACAUCAUUGUGGAAGGGUAUGGCGGAGCAAAGCUGCUCAAUUCAUGGUGGUUGGGAAGCAGAGCCAGGGAACAGCACUGGAGAGGAACAGGGGGGCACUAUGUAUGGUGCCCAUGGCCACACCUCCAUGACCCACCCAGGCACACCUAGGAGCUGUUCUAUCCUGCUGGUGUUUCUUCUUCUUCUUUUUUUUUUUGGUACUGGGGAUCGAAUUCCAGACCUUGCACUUGUGAGGCAGGCAGCAGAACCACUGAGAGCUAAAUCCCCGGCCCACUGCUGGUGUUUCUUAAUCUGAUGAUGCUGAUGUUUCAGGAUGAGAUCACUGAAGACAUUACAAAGUUCAAGUUGAACUUCUAGAGAUGAAAACAAUGCCUGGGGUGGGUGUGGUGGCACAUCCCAGUGCUCAGGAGGCUGAGACAGGAGGAUUGCUGUGAGUUCUAGGCCAGCCUGGGCUACAAAGUGAGUUCAAGGCCUGCCUGAACUACACAGUGAGACCCUGUCUCAAAGAUAAAUAAAUAAAUAAAAUGAAAAGAACAUCAAUGAUUUGGAAUUGGCUAUGCUGGUUACUGAGAAGAACCUGUCUGUGAGUUACAGGACAGGGCUAAUCAGCCAUGCAUUUACAUGAUCCUUUUGAGACUGCAGACACACCGGGAUGGGGGUUUCUGGGGAUGUCCAAUGAUUCCCAGAAGUCCCCAGUCAUUGUCCUGGGCCUGUGGUCAACUGGAUGUCUCGAGAGGCAGAGCCCACCUGGCUGAGACCCCAUGCAGACAGAGACAUCCUUUCCUGGGACAGAAGCAUCCCUGGCUGUGCAGAUCCCAGAGCUGGGACAGCAGAACUGAGAUGAUGUUCAGAGACCCCAGCCACCAGCCAGGCCUUUACAGAUGGCCGGUCUGCAUCCCUGCAUCAGCGUACCACCUCCAGCCACCUGAGUGGAAGCAUUUCCUGUCUUCCUCUAACUUUCCAGUGCAAGUUUUCUUCCUGCAAAAGUGUGCUUUGGUUUUAAUCUCCCGAUCUCCUAAAUCAAGGACUCAAAGCAGCCAAGGACAACCCUACCCUACUUCACAGAUCUUGUUAUGCACUGAACUGCACCCCAAGGCUCCUGUGCUGAUCCCAGUGUGCCUGCUUGGCGAUGAAUGAUGCUAAAUCAGGUCAUAAGGGUGGGGCCCUAUCCACUGAAAUCUCAGCACCGAAUUGGCUGGCGCCUGGGUUGUGGCCAUCCCAUCUCCAGAUCUGCAAGAGAUCAAUGUCAGUGUGCACCCGCCCGGCUCUGCUGAUUUGUCUCAGCAUCUGACCUAAGAUAGAUCUCACCCUAGUUUAGCUGAGCGCAUUGCAGUGACCCCAUAAAGCCACAAAGGGUCACCCCCCAAGGUGGGGCUCUGGGGAAACAGGCUGGCAGUUCUGGGAAGGCACUGGAUUGCACAACUUGGACCUGGUGUGCAGCCAGACCAGGAGCCGGCCUUCUCACAACCUCUCUGUCCUCGCCAGCUAUGAACCACAAACUUCAUCCUGUCCACACAACAGGCAAGCAUUAAGUAUGAAAAGGACCAGGCGCAGUGGUACAUGCCUGUUAUCUCAGCACUCUGGGAGGCUGAGGCAGGAGGAUCACAGGUUCAAGCCCAGCCAGGGCAACUUAGAGUUAGCAAGACUCUGUCUCAAAAAAUGAAGAAAGGUCUCACAUUCUUCCUGGGGGACCCCACACCCAGUGUGGCAUCUGUGCCCCUCAGGCUCAACUCCUAAGGAUGCGUCUUUGGAAGAAAAUUAGGUUGCGUGAUGCAUCAUGGACAGACAGGGGGCACGUGAAGGCAUCUGUCACCACCCGGCAAGCUCACCAAGGUCAUGGACAAGUCCCCUGGCCAGUGUGCAAAGCACUGUUGUCAGGUGGCAUGGAGUGCAUCAGACGGAGGCAGAGGCACAACAGGAACCAACUGAAGUCAUGUUUUGUUGUUGUUGUUGUUGUUUUGUGGUACUGGGGAUCAAACUCAGGACCUUUCACUUUCAAGGCAGGUGCAGCACCACUGAGCUAAAUCCCUGGCCCUGAAGUCAUGGUUUUGUAAUGGUUUUUGAUUAUCAUGUUGCUCAGCUGCAAAGAGCAGAACACCCAAGAGUGGCAAAAUAAACUUGGGCUCAUUUCUCUACCAUAACAAGACAAGUGGCCACUGAUGCUGUUUUAGCAGCUCCAGGAGCAUGGAGCUUGCAUCUCCCUGCUUGCUUGCCUUUAACCUCAUGAUUACAAGAAGGUUGCCUGAACUCCUGGCAUCACACCUACAUUCAAAACAGGAAGACAGAGGAAGUUUCCUUCACCUCCUUUGACACCCCCUAGCCUGACAGUCCUACACAAUCCAGUUACUGGAUGGAGGGUCUUGUGGGCUUCUUUCUAGGUUCUUGGUGUCCUGAGCAAAGAAUUGUGCAAGACACAUGGAAAAGGCAGUGAAAAUGUACUUUUAUUGAAGGUGGAAAAGAGACCAAAAGCAGAUUUCUGACAUUACUGCUGAGGAGGAGGAAGAGGAGGUCACCCAGGACCUCAAUGCCCAAAGCAUUAAAUCACCCGAUAAAGAGGUGCUGCUAUUCCUGGGAGCUGGGAAGAGAGCAGACUGUUGAUUCUCAUUUGGUUCCCGGAAAUUCAUUCCCAGGAUGGUAGUACUGUAUUAUUAUCCCACUAGACGCCCAGGGACACUAAGGCAUGGCACAAUGGCUUGACCAAGUCACAUCUGGUGUUAGUCCUGAAUCCGAUUAACCUCUAAGCGCCAUGCCCCUCCCCGCUUCUCCUCCCAGGCACUGGGUCACUCACUACUAACAACCAAGCCUCACGUAGCAACUCUGCAUGGGUGACAAUGCCUUUACAAGUGGGUACAGCAGGUGUGGUUGCACUUGUGUCAGGAAGAAGGGUCUGAGUCUUGCAAGGGUUUUCGUUAGCACCACAUUUGUGCCACAUAUCCUGCUGCGUGUGAAUGUCCUGUGCAAUAUAGAAACACAGGGCCCUGCCAGGCCUGGGUUGGAACCUUGCCUGUGUCUAGUUCACAUUUGUACAGUGACAAUAAUAAGUGUGUCACAAUCAUGGUGUCCAUUAUGGUUCAUUUCUAGACGUUCCCCAGGAGCCUCAUGCGCUCAUAGGUGGGGCUUUCGGAAGGUGAAUGGAUAUGGGGGCUUACAGCUGAUCGCUGGUAGGAGGUGGGCUCUGGUUGGAAGGGUCAGGUUGGUGCGGACCUGGCCUGGAAGGGUGCAUCUCCCUCCCUGGCUCCCUCCUUCACCGUCUGCGUCCUGUCUACCAUGCUGUGAGCAGCUCUCCUCUGCCAGGCUCCUCUGAGGUGCCGUUCUGCCUUGGAGCUGGCUAACCAUGGACUGAAAUGUGAGCUAAAAUAAAGCUUUCCUUAUUUUGUUCUAGCAAUGAGGAAAGUGACUAGGGUAGUGUCACUACAUAACAUACUAAGUAUCAUCACAUGGAUUCCAUCCAUGAGCCUGGAAUAAAGUCAACGCUCAGUAAAUGUCCCAUUGUGUCAUCCUUGACGUCAACUGUGGGGAAAGGAUUGUGACACCCUGAGGCCCAGGCCAGCUGGAUGCUGCUCGCCUUGGAGGCCAGAGGGGUUGGUCAGCUGAUUGGACAGCUGUCACUCGGGAGACUGACUGACUCUUUUAAGGUACUGUGGGUAUUGUGGGUAUUGUGGAUAUUUAAAAGGUACUGAGGUUAUAGACGAGGGUCCUUAGCUGCAGUUUUUCCUAAAAGUACAAUUUUAAAAUCUCGAUUUCCUUGUCACCUUUUUACCUUCUUUUUAUUCUACUUCAUUUCCAAUCGGCCCCCUUCACCUACUCAAAACCCUCGCCACGUCUCCCAUCACAUGAUCUAUGUGGUGUCUCCGGAAAUCCUACAUGGAAAAUUGGACCAAAGCAGGGAGAUACAGCUUCCCUAGGGAGGCGGGAAGGCUGGAAGACAAGGAACGGAGCCUCUCUGGGGAUGGUGGUUCCCUUGGACACAUAGUUUAAUGAAUGAGCCGGGGUGCGAGGGCUGAAGAUGUAGGUCUGCGUUUGAUUCCCAGCCCGGGUGGGGUGUGGGGCGGGGGAUCCCGUCUGGGUUAGAAAGCUGAACCCGGAGCCUUGACUCAGGCACAAGGCUAUGGGCGAUCUGACUCCUCAUCCAGCCGGGCUUUGGUCUGGUGCACGGAGCAGACGCCUCCAGGGUCCCCACGUUCACAGACCUCACUCAGGAGUCCAGGGCCGAAGUUCUCUUCAGAAGCCCUGCGG